GUUCCUGUUGUGGUACUCUCUAUUCUAUAUGAAUGCUGUUUUCAUAUCAAGGUACACACCAGGAAUUUCUAAAACGCGGAAAGAUCCACUUCACCAUCGUCGUCAUCAUCAAAAACUGUUAGAACUUAGUUCAUUUGCUUUUACGUCACUCUAUUAUAACAUUUAAAAUUUUCAACCUCAACCAACACUUAACCUCUCAUAAUAACCUCUGAUUUAAGGUACACCUUACAAUAAUUUAACUAGAAAAGGUCGAGAAAAAAAUGUUACGUUCUUAUUCAUAAUUUACAUAUCAACCAGAUAUUCGGACUACCACUGAAAAAAUACUGAUAGGAGCAGGUAUUUUUUACUUACAAA
This 354-nucleotide long non-coding RNA is filed under the name Mytilus galloprovincialis (Mediterranean mussel). Lineage: Eukaryota; Metazoa; Mollusca; Bivalvia; Mytilida; Mytilidae. The record is from RNAcentral.